GAACGCGCCGCUCCCCGCCCGGGGAUGCUCCCGGGCUGCAGUGGGGCCCCGCCUCCUCGAGCCGCCAUCGCUGCUUCCCUCGCCCUGCCCGGCUGUGCGUCCGGGAGUUUUCGCUGGCCGAGGAACACCUCGUGGCCGUGCCGUUUAACGGCGGAACGGUUGCACCAUGGAUUGGGUCCAUUGAAGGGUCUGGAGCACAACUCCCACGAGGAGCGGCUGAGAGAGCUGCGGCUGUUGAGCCUGGAGAAGAGGAGGCUCGGGGUACCCUGACAGGAGAUGAUGCAUAAGGAACACAAACUGCAUUGCAGGCAAUAGGAAAAAAACUCCUAAUGAAGGAUCAAUACAAAAAGACAACAUUUAAAAGGAGAAAAAAACGUGUUAAAAAGACAUAUUGACUUGCUGUGCAGCAAGUAUUUGAGUUUCUUCUAGCAAAGAGGCUGAAUACCUAGGAAACAACUCCCACCAGCGUAUCUUUUAUUCCACCUUUCAUUUGGGAAGGACACAGUAGGAAGGAAUUAAAUCACACCUUAAAGGGUAAAUUAAAGCACUUCCAGAUUGUUCUGUUUA
Pseudopipra pipra is the source of this 567-nucleotide long non-coding RNA. RefSeq lists it as uncharacterized. NCBI's taxonomy places the organism in Eukaryota, Metazoa, Chordata, Aves, Passeriformes, Pipridae. The transcript has 2 exons. The record is from RefSeq and is a predicted model, not a curated record.